GCCACCUGGGCCUUGAUGUGGUUCUCAUCUCCCUGUGUGGAAACCACCACUGCUCUGUUCAUACUGCAUAUGCUUCAUGCGACCUCUGGAUCAUUGUGGAUGUGCUCUGGUCCACGUCCCUGCCUGCACAGCACUCUUCAACACGAACGUCUUCAAACUGCUGCAUAUUCUGAUAAACUGAUCAGGUGAUCAAUAGGAUCUAGUCUUACCGGAGCAGCCCAGCUGUGAUCCAGCAGAGCCACAACCAUCAGA
This is a long non-coding RNA of Stegastes partitus (bicolor damselfish), 252 nucleotides long. RefSeq lists it as uncharacterized. NCBI's taxonomy places the organism in Eukaryota, Metazoa, Chordata, Actinopteri, Pomacentridae. The record is from RefSeq and is a predicted model, not a curated record. The transcript is spliced from 3 exons.